UUGGAGGGCAAGUCUGGUGCCAGCAGCCGCGGUAAUUCCAGCUCCAAUAGCGUAUAUUAAAGUUGUUGCAGUUAAAAAGCUCGUAGUUGAAUUUCGGGAUCAGAGUGUCGGUCGUGCCUCGGUACGCACUGGUAUUAUUGGUUCCUACCUUCUGAAGAACCGCGAUGUCAUUAAUUUGGUGUCGUGGGGAAUCAGGACUGUUACUUUGAAAAAAUUAGAGUGUUUAAAGCAGGCUUACGCUUGAAUACAUUAGCAUGGAAUAAUGAAAUAGGACGUUUGAUUCUAUUUUGUUGGUUUCUAGGAUUGACGUAAUGAUUAAUAGGGAUAGUUGGGGGCAUUAGUAUUCAAUUGUCGGAGGUGAGAUUCUUGGAUUUAUUGAAGACUAACUACUGCGAAAGCAUUUGCCAAGGAUGUUUUCAUUAAUCAAGAACGAAAGUUAGGGGACCGAAGACGAUCAGAUACCGUCGUAGUCUUAACCAUAAACUAUGCCGACUAGGGAUCGGAUGAUGUUAAUUUUUUAAUGACUCAUUCGGCGCCUUACGGGAAACCAAAGUGUUUGGGUUC
This 564-nucleotide ribosomal RNA is filed under the name uncultured Glomeromycotina. RNAcentral's name for it is "SSU rRNA". It matches the Rfam family "Eukaryotic small subunit ribosomal RNA", at positions 548 to 1114 of the family's 1831-position model. The record is from RNAcentral. Lineage: Eukaryota; Fungi; Glomeromycota.